RNAcentral lists this ribosomal RNA (253 nucleotides) under uncultured Acidobacteriota bacterium. RNAcentral describes it as "uncultured Acidobacteria bacterium partial 16S ribosomal RNA". It matches the Rfam family "Bacterial small subunit ribosomal RNA", at positions 524 to 776 of the family's 1533-position model. Lineage: Bacteria; Pseudomonadati; Acidobacteriota. The record is from RNAcentral.
GACGAACCGUGCAAACGUUAUUCGGAAUCACUGGGUGUAAAGGGCUCGUAGGCGGCCAACUAAGUCGGACGUGAAAUCCCUCAGCUUAACUGGGGAACUGCGUCCGAUACUGGAUGGCUUGGAUUUGGGAGAGGGAUGCGGAAUUCCAGGUGUAGCGGUGAAAUGCGUAGAUAUCUGGAGGAACACCGGUGGCGAAGGCGGCAUCCUGGACCAAUAUUGACGCUGAGGAGCGAAAGCUAGGGGAGCAAACGGG